GAUUGGGAUUACAGGCAGUUCUUUAGGACUGCUCUCAAAUAAUUGAAAUGUUACUAAACAAGGUUAUACUUAUCAAAUUAAAUAGCUCUGGUCUCCAGUAUAUUGGCGAAUUCGGUUCUUUGUACUUAAUUUAUUAGCAUGAUUUCUUUUUAAUAUGUUGUGUACAGACUUAAUUACUUCUCUGUCUACUUUUCUUACUCCAUGUAGGUUUCCCAGAGACUAUGGGUUGAGGAGGAAGUGGAAGUUUGUCGGCUUAGACCUGGUGUCAUUCCAUCAGUGUUAAACUUCCCGGCUCAUCUUGGAAGAGUACGUGCCAGAAAGACCACGACCAAGCAGCCUUGAGAUCUUAGACAGCGUCUCCCUGAGGUCUCUCUCUAUCUCCCCACACAUCCACCAACCACUGGAACACAUCUCCAAAGUUCUGCCGGGCCAGCUCAGCUUCCCCUCAGAAGAAGUGCCGCCACCUGCCAGAUGAAGGAGCCUUUUGAGAGGCAGCUGGCAUCGUGAUUGGACUGUACUUUGGUCUGUUCCAGUCCAGCUUCAGCUCCAGAGACGGCAGGCGGGACGAGUCAACGGAGGCCGGAUGGACGAAGGCAUGCAGCUGAGUACAAUCCAGAAAACAACAGAAGAGGAGUGCAGCAGCCCAGGGCCAGAACAACCAGAGUAGCAUCGUAUGUCUCUUAGAAAACAUCAUAGUAUAGCCUUUGGUAUGAAAAAACACCAUCAUAUACAUCGUAUAUUGUACAUAUAAGAAGUCAAAGGAAAGAGACACACAUUGUAGAAUCGUAGUAAUUGUGGGCUGACUGAUUUACUGAUUAUCAGUAUUUUAUUUUUUACUGAUUUACGGUAAUAAAUACAUUUAAAAAUGGUG
Molecule: long non-coding RNA, 871 nt
Organism: Amphiprion ocellaris (clown anemonefish)
Lineage: Eukaryota; Metazoa; Chordata; Actinopteri; Pomacentridae
Exons: 2
Source: RefSeq, a predicted model, not a curated record